AUGGCGUUCGCGCCGCGGCUCCUGCUGCCGCCACGGCCCCCCUUGCCCGCUCCGGCGCGGGCCUCCGCGCGCCACAACGGCGGCGGGGGGCGCACGGCGCCGGAGCUGUCGGGCCCGACGCCGCGGGUGGUGGUGGUGACCUCGGGCAAGGGCGGCGUGGGGAAGACCACCACCACGGCUAACCUGGCCGCCUCCCUGGCGCGGCUGGGGCUCCCCGUGGUGGCCGUGGACGCCGACGCGGGCCUCCGGAACCUCGACCUGCUGCUGGGGCUGGAGAACCGGGUGAACCUGACCGCCGCCGACGUGCUCGCCGGCGACUGCCGCCUCGACCAGGCCCUCGUCCGCCACCGCUCCCUCCGGGGCCUCCACCUGCUCUGCCUCUCCAAGCCCCGCUCCAAGCUGCCCCUCGCCUUCGGCUCCAAGACCCUCACCUGGGUCGCCGACGCCCUCCGCCGCGGCGCCGACCCGCCCGCCUUCAUCCUCAUCGACUGCCCUGCAGGUGUUGAUGCUGGGUUUGUCACAGCCAUCGCCCCUGCAGAAGAGGCAGUGCUUGUCACCACUCCUGACAUCACGGCACUCCGUGAUGCAGACCGCGUCGCGGGGCUGCUGGAGUGUGACGGCAUCAAGGACAUCAAGAUCAUCGUGAACAGAGUGCGGCCGGACCUGGUGAGGGGGGAGGACAUGAUGUCAGCGCUCGACGUGCAAGAAAUGCUUGGGUUACCUCUGCUAGGUGUGGUGCCAGAAGAUUCAGAGGUAAUCCGCAGCACAAACAGGGGCAUGCCGUUGGUGCUGACGGACCCGCCCACGCCUGCAGGCCUCGCCCUGGAGCAGGCGACGUGGCGUCUGGUGGAGCGGGACGCGAUGACGGCCGUCAUGGUCGAGGAGCAGGAGCGGCCCAAGAAGAAGGGCGGCUUCUUCUCGUUCUUCGGCGGGUGA
Molecule: ribosomal RNA, 936 nt
Filed under: Triticum aestivum (bread wheat)
Lineage: Eukaryota; Viridiplantae; Streptophyta; Magnoliopsida; Poales; Poaceae
Description: partial small subunit ribosomal RNA
Source: RNAcentral